This is a long non-coding RNA of Trichosurus vulpecula (common brushtail), 917 nucleotides long. RefSeq lists it as uncharacterized. The transcript is spliced from 5 exons. The record is from RefSeq and is a predicted model, not a curated record. Lineage: Eukaryota; Metazoa; Chordata; Mammalia; Diprotodontia; Phalangeridae.
GUAACUGGGCUGCGUACGCAGAGCUGGGGCGAGGUGAAGGUGGCCUGGAGUGUGAAAGAUAAGCCUCCAGGCCAAGCUGAGGAGUGCUGGGCUGCUUAUGAGGAGGCGGUAGCCCUGGGGCUCUGCGUGCAGUGCUGGGGAGCGCCCCCCGCUGGCCGGGCUGAGCUGUCCCGAGAGCGCCUCCGCUUCCCUCCCUCCUUCCCUUCUUCCCUCCCUCCUCCCGCCCUUUAGCGCCAGCCCUGGCUCCGCCUGCGCCGCGCCGCUCGGCUCCGCUGCAGCCCCUCCGGCUGCCCGCCCUAACGAUCUGUAACGGACGAGGGCCCGGGGAACCAGUCCUCUGGCGCGCGCGCUGCCCGAGGGCUCGUGAGAAGGCCCGGGCUUUCCGGAGCCGCGCGCCGCCGCCAAGGCGAUCCAGAAAAUAUAAAGUAUGCAGAAUGAAAAUGAGAUUCUACAAUCAGCAGUGGAUCUUCUAAUUAUGAAAAAAGAAAAGAAGAAAAUUAUUCUGAAGAUUUAAGGUUGAUUAACUGGCUGCCAGAACUAAACCUCGAGGUGUUACAUGCCGUCAGAAGACUUAUGGAUGACAACUGGAUUCCAGAACUCUGUCAGAGAGAGAUGAGUCCUUACUCAUUUACAUGAGUUCUUUUCCACGCUACAAAGAUGCUCAGUCAUCUGUGAAUGAACUUUUCUGCAAGUCUCCUUUCUUGUGGAUCCAGAUAAAAGGACAUUGAAAAAUCAAGUUUUCGAGUAGUUUAAAUAUCUCUGAAUUAAUCUGUUUUGAGACUAGCCCCUAAGUUGUUAUGAAAUAUGAUUACUUUGUAUUGGAAUCACCAGUUUUGGGGGGGGAACAAUCAAAACUAGAAUAUUUUAAAAGCUUUUUAUUAUACAAGCCUUAAAAUAAAGUCAGUUUUGUUUUUUAA